This 139-nucleotide long non-coding RNA is filed under the name Mus spicilegus (steppe mouse). Its description in RNAcentral is "lncRNA (ENSMSIG00000020462.1)". The record is from RNAcentral. Lineage: Eukaryota; Metazoa; Chordata; Mammalia; Rodentia; Muridae.
UGACUGCACCAAAUACUGCACACUUAGGCUACCCAGUCUUUAACUAUGGCCAUUGUAGUGGGGAUGAAUAUGAAGAGCUCCUAAGACAACAUGAUGAAGACAUCCUGCAAAUACAGGAGCUGAGAAAAUCCAAAGAGGU